CGCGAGAGGACAGAGGAGGCGGGGCCGCGCGCCUCCGUAGCCCGCGGGCGGAAGCGAGAGAGAAUGAGGAGGCAAGAGGGGAGCCGCGGCCGCGGGGAGGCUCGGGACGAGUGGGUUUGUUCCGGUUGUCCUUCCGCUGCAGACGUCCGGGGCCCAGGCCCGAAGCCGAGGGGGAAGGUACCCACACUGCACCAAAAGAUACCUGAGAGACCCAUGCAUCUGUACAUCUGAAGGUAGAUGGACUGGCUCCCUGGGAAGUGGUGGAGAUAGAGGCUGUAACUAGGUCAUGCCUGUCCAGCCACGAGCCACAAUGGCCAGCCUCCUUUGCAGCUAAGUGUUUGCUUCAUGUGGCUCAGCUCUGGUUCGUGGAGUGCAGCAGAAGGGCACUUCUGAACCGCCUUUCCAGAGGACAGUGUGACGCUCCUUUCCCCAUCCUUGUGGCCAGGAUGCUGACAAGCAGAGUAACCUUGGCAGCCACAUGUUGCAGAUGGCACAGACUGUGUCUGGGCCGGAUCCCUGAAUGACUUCAUGGAGCAGAGCCUCUACUCCUCCAGGCCAGAACACCCCCUGAGCCAUUUCGUUAGAGAGAAAUAAGCUUUUAGUGACUGUCUUUUAAGGUCUAUAUAUUAAAACAAGUGAGCCUACCCUAACUAAUUAGUUAGUUCUUCAAAAUUUAGAUACUUAAUUUUUUACCCAGGGUCUAGUCUUGGUGUUAUUUACUUCUAUAUUUGUUUGGUAAUUUAUCAACUUUUUGUUCUGCAAAAUUUCAGACAUACAAAAGUAGAGGAAAUGAUAUAAUGAAGUCUUAUGUACCUAUGACUAAACCUCAACAUUUGUGUUAUAAGGCCUUUCCUAUUUCCUACGUGUAUGCCAUUUCCUACAUAUUUAUGGCCAUACCUCUGUCAUCGGUACCCUCUUUCCUCUCUGCCCCGUUCUGGAUUAUUUUAAAGCAAAUUUCAGAAUCUCAAACAUCAUUCAUUUCAUUGGAGACUUUUAAAUGCCACAAGAAACCUCCUCCAACCUCCCUGGAACUCAAGUGUUAUUGUGAAACUGUGGCUAUGAAAACGGGCCGUUCCCAUUGUGUUACAACGUAUGAUGAAGACAAUGCAAGCUGAAAGGUUAGGCUCACCUGCCGGUGCGAGAGGCACACCCUAUCCCCAGAACAUACCAGAAUCUACCUUCACCCCAUUCAAGGUGGAAGCUUGGAGCUUAUAAAGGAGACCUGGCAGUACCAGGCAGUCUGAGAAUAUGGGGCGACCAGCAGUGGGUCAAGAAUUGAAGCCAGAUAACUUGGGUUCUAAAUAUCUAAACUUCGCUCAGCUACUUACUAGUUGUAUGCUCUGCAACCAUUCACUUAAUUAUUCAGAUCCUCAGGUUUUCUCAUUUAUAAGAUGGAAAUAAUACCUAUUCCAUCACUGGAUCUGUAUGUUAAAAUUAGCUAAGAUUUUUAAAAUUAUGAACUUUAUAUGAUGAUCAGUUUAUAACUUGGAAGUAAAUAUAAGCUAAGAUUUUAAUUCUUAUUUAAUGUUUUCCUCUAGAGUAGCAUUUAUAGUCUACAGGAAUCUAUUAAAAUCAGUGUUAUUGGUGGCAGUGAUUAUUUUUUCUAAUGAGUUUUUGGAUCUAAAUCAGCAGCACCAUCCAUGAAAGGGAAAAUGAUGCUGCAGUUUGCUUAUUUCAAACGUCUUUAAUCUGAGAAAAGUGGACAGUACCAUAGUGAGCUCCUGCAGGGCCAAAGAGCGAAUAGACUCUUAACUCAAGUUUUCCCUCAGGAGGUUAGCUUCUCUCCCCCUUCACCAGCAUCCAGUUUGACCCAGCCAGUUCUGCAUAAGCUGGGAUAUGGAGAUUUCCAGAUCUUAAUGACUUCCCUCAUACAUCAAAAUGUCUCUUUCUGCAUUACUGAGCUCAGUUCCAACUGGGUCACAGCGUUGAGCAAGGUAGACUUAAAAAGGAUGUACAAUAAUUCAUGUGAAAUGUAAGCAAGACAUUUUCCUCCUCCCCUGCUGGAUCUGCAUGCAAUGUUUCCCCUUCUGGUUUCUGUUUUUUAGGUACAUUAUAAGUACCUGGUAAGUUAGAACCUUUUAACUUUUUAACUUUCAAUUUUAGAAUAGUUUUAGAUUUACAAGAAAGUUGCAAAGAUAGUGCAGAGUUCCCGUCUGCCCCUCACCUGGUUUCCCCUACUGUUAGCAUCUUACAUUGCCAGGCUACAUUUGUCACGCCUAAGAAACCAACACUGGUAUGUUGCUAUUAACUAAACUCCAGACAUUAUUCUGAUUUCACUAGUUUUUCCACUAAUGUCCUUUGUCUGCUCCAGGGUCCCAUCCAGGACACCACAUUACAUUUAGUUAUUGUGUCUCCUUAGCCUCCUCUGAUUUGUGACAACUUUUUAGCCUUUCCUCAUUUUUAAGGACCUUGACAGCUUUAAGGAGUACUGGUCAGGUAUUUUAUACGAUGCUUCUCAAUUUGAUUUUUUUCUCUAGUUAGAUUGGGGUUAUGGGAUGGAGAGGCUGACCACAGAGUUGAGGUCACCUUCUCAUCACACCGUGUGUCAGGGAGGUGUGCUGUCAAUAUGACAUCACUGGUUCUGUUGACCUUGAUCACCUAGCCUAGGGAGGGUUUCCAGGUUUCUUCACUGUGAAGUAACUUACCCCUUUCCCAUGCUCUAUUCUUUAGAAGCGAUGACUGAGCUCAGCCCAUAAUCAAGGAGGCAAGAGGGAUAAAGCUCCCAAAACAAACCUGGAAGAAUUUGAGAGCAAAAAUAAUGCAAUAUGAAAUUAUAACCCAAAGUAUAAAAUAAAUGUCCAGGACUCCAUACUCAUAUAAAUAAAUGACUAAAAAAAUGAACAAAGGAGAAGAGACAAAUCUUCCUUCUAUUAGAAUUCCAAAUUAAAGCAUUUUGUUACACAGCCUAUUCUGUUUUUACUUUAAAAGUACUAAUAGACUUUAUUGUUAAGAGCAGUUUUAGGUUUGCAGAAAAAGGGAACAGAAAAUACAGAAAGAUCCUACAUAUGACUCCCACCCCCGUUUCCCUUAUUGUUAACAUAUUGCAUCAGUGGUUAACUUUUGAACUUUCAGCUGUCUUAGAAAUGAAAAAUGGAACAGUGCUGUGUGGUAAGAGUCUUUGGACUCUCAGUGAAUAACAGUACUUUCCUAUGAAUGGAAAUAGGCAUCUUGGAAUAUGAAGACAGAUACCACGAGACUCCAAACUCUGUUAUACCAACAGGGGCUGGAUCAUUUAAAAUUUUCUUUUCUGGGAGCUAGCCCCGUGGCCGAGUGGUUAAGUUCGCGUGCUCUGCUUCAGUGGCCCAGGGUUUCUCUGGUUCGGAUCCUGGGUGCGGACAUGG
Long non-coding RNA from Equus quagga, 3341 nucleotides. RefSeq lists it as uncharacterized. Lineage: Eukaryota; Metazoa; Chordata; Mammalia; Perissodactyla; Equidae. The transcript has 3 exons. The record is from RefSeq and is a predicted model, not a curated record.